UCCGUUGGAAUACCUGAUCUCUGAUUGCCAUGUCCAAGAAGUUGUAACAAAGCAAUGAAGUUCUUGUUUCAGUUCCCUUGUUGCUCGUGCUUCUGCUUCAUGAAGACCAAAAAGAGAAAGCCCAAGAAGAAGGAAGGCAAGGGCGAUUGAAAGAAUGUAAGUCUUUGCUUAUGUUCGGCUGUACUGUACAAUAAUGUAAAUGGCUGUCCAUACCUGCGUUUGAGGCUCUCUUGGCAGUAAUCAUCAAUUGUGGCUAUCUGUUUAGCUGAAGUGUAAAAAAUGGCAUGAUAUCUUCUUUUCAAUAAUGAUGCUUUACUUGUUAGUUUCUUUCGUCUUUCUCGAUCACUUCCUUGUUGAGAAUACCAUCUCCUCCAUUCGUUGUUCAGCUGAUUCCAGACCAAUCUGUGCAAGAAAGCUGCCAAAAACAAAGAUCAUUAAAGGUAAGGGAACAUUACAAAAAAGUUUUUAUCUACUGCACAGGUUUAUCCAGUCCGGAAUUACGGAUAGUUUCUGAAGAAAAUUCAGUUUAUCCAUGUGAUCCACUGAAAAAGGAAAGAAUAGGUUUUAAUCUCCAAUUACAAAGGUGCAUCUCAAUUAAAUAAUUCAGAUUCUUCCAGAGGAAGAAGGUUUGCAUAAAUAUGAAGCAGAAAACCUGGCCUCUAUGAAAGGCAGAGGAAGUAAAGUAUUACUGAACAGAGUGAAGAGUGUCAACUGUAAUUAUAUAGUCCAAGAUGCAGAGAGUACAAGGAGGUUUCCAGUAAAGCUAAUGAUCGAUAUAUCUCUUCAAGCAACGAAUAGUAAGUUCAAGCAGUUUGCUUUCAAGAAAGAUCAAAUACAAGUCAUCCAAGACCAGUUACCAUGAUCAUCCAUCCUGUAUCCUUUAAAUUCUGCAAUUUAACCACAGGUCUAUUGAUCCACAAUGCACCUUAAGCCUUUCUUUAGAAGAAGAUUAGCGACCUAAACUGAAGAAGGAUAUUGACAGAUCAUUUAUUGAAGUAUGGAUACAGGAUUAUCAUAACUUCUUCCUAUGAAGAAAUCCUAACACAGACUAGCUCCAUGUCAAUUACUUAGCAAAGAAAACACAAAUGAUAGCACUUUGUGACCAGAAAGUGAAGUCAUUUGCAUCUAACAUAUAGAGCCUAGUAAAUGCAGGCUUCCACUGUUGUUACCAAAUGCAGGUUAUUGCUUGAUUUCUCAGGACACACACACACAACAAAAAAAAAAAAGCAGAGAGAGAAGAGAGAGAGAGCAGAUGAUUUGGUAAAAAAAUUCUGCACACCAGAGUUAAAAUUAUGUACACUUAAUUUGAAGGAAGAAUUAGUUAAUUUUAAGGGAGAAAUACAUCUGCAUGAAUCCAGAAGCUUCACAAACCUGCGGUCAUGAACAGUACACCAUGCUGUCUCUGAUCAUUCCGCAUGAGAGAAAAUAUUUAAUCAUAGCCUCAAGCACUUUUUUGUACAAGUACUGUGUGGUCACGGAGC
RNAcentral lists this long non-coding RNA (1481 nucleotides) under Phoenix dactylifera (date palm). Its description in RNAcentral is "long non-coding RNA (PDAC_LNC001918)". The record is from RNAcentral. Lineage: Eukaryota; Viridiplantae; Streptophyta; Magnoliopsida; Arecales; Arecaceae.